AUUGAACGCUGGCGGCAGGCCUAACACAUGCAAGUCGAACGGUAACAGGAAGCAGCUUGCUGCUUCGCUGACGAGUGGCGGACGGGUGAGUAAUGUCUGGGAAACUGCCUGAUGGAGGGGGAUAACUACUGGAAACGGUAGCUAAUACCGCAUAACGUCGCAAGACCAAAGAGGGGGACCUUAGGGCCUCUUGCCAUCGGAUGUGCCCAGAUGGGAUUAGCUAGUAGGUGGGGUAACGGCUCACCUAGGCGACGAUCCCUAGCUGGUCUGAGAGGAUGACCAGCCACACUGGAACUGAGACACGGUCCAGACUCCUACGGGAGGCAGCAGUGGGGAAUAUUGCACAAAGGGCGCAAGCCUGAUGCAGCCAUGCCGCGCGUAUGAAGAAGGCCUUCGGGUUGUAAAGUACUUUCAGCGGGGAGGAAGGGAGUAAAGUUAAUACCUUUGCUCAUUGACGUUACCCGCAGAAGAAGCACCGGCUAACUCCGUG
This 490-nucleotide ribosomal RNA is filed under the name uncultured bacterium. RNAcentral describes it as "partial 16S ribosomal RNA". It matches the Rfam family "Bacterial small subunit ribosomal RNA", at positions 30 to 507 of the family's 1533-position model. The record is from RNAcentral.